Molecule: long non-coding RNA, 694 nt
Organism: Lontra canadensis (Northern American river otter)
Lineage: Eukaryota; Metazoa; Chordata; Mammalia; Carnivora; Mustelidae
Exons: 3
Source: RefSeq, a predicted model, not a curated record
CAGAUGGGGACACACUGGAAACGCAAAUUAGCGGGCCCCGCCGUAAACCUACUGAAUCAGUCUCUGAAGGUGGGGUCGAGUCAUCCUUUGUUUUUAAGAUUUUAUUUAUUUCAGAGAGAGAGCGCGAUCGAGCACGAGGAAGAACAGACCCUAAUAAUCCGUUUUAAUACUACCUGCAGGAAAAUGUGAGAACCACUGCUCUAGAAGGCUACAAAUGUCAUCUAAACAUUUGUUCAAUGAUGUUACUAGUAUGAGAACUGGAGGAAAACAACACAUUCAAAACAAUAAUAUUGGAAUGCAAGUUUCAUGUAAUAAGGACUCACUGAUGACUUCUCUCUACCAGCAGUCAAGACUUCUCUCCUGAUUCAUGCUGCUAAUGGCCAUCUGGACAACUUCACUUCGACCGCCCACGGGUAGGCACAAGAAAGACAUUUUGAACUACUGUGGCUGUUUCACUCAAUGUUUUUGAUCACAUAUUUUAGCUGGGCUAAUAUUGAUGAACUUUCGUUGAGAAACUCCUUUCAGCAACUCCAUUAAGCCAAUUUAAUUUUUGAUCAAUUUCCUCUGCAAUAUAUUUCCAUUUUGUUGUAAUUAUUUUCAUUGGGAUCCAGUUUCUUCUAUAUGUUUUAUAAUGGAGACUGAGUCAAUUUUUGGUUCAUUUCAAAUUUUACCAAUGUAUCUUCUGCUACUAAGU